RNAcentral lists this ribosomal RNA (2877 nucleotides) under Salmonella enterica subsp. enterica serovar Weltevreden. RNAcentral's name for it is "bacterial LSU rRNA". It matches the Rfam family "Bacterial large subunit ribosomal RNA". The record is from RNAcentral. Lineage: Bacteria; Pseudomonadati; Pseudomonadota; Gammaproteobacteria; Enterobacterales; Enterobacteriaceae.
AGCGUACACGGUGGAUGCCCUGGCAGUCAGAGGCGAUGAAGGGCGUGCUAAUCUGCGAUAAGCGCCGGUAAGGUGAUAUGAACCGUUAUAACCGGCGAUACCCGAAUGGGGAAACCCAGUGUGACUCGUCACACUAUCAUUAACUGAAUCCAUAGGUUAAUGAGGCGAACCGGGGGAACUGAAACAUCUAAGUACCCCGAGGAAAAGAAAUCAACCGAGAUUCCCCCAGUAGCGGCGAGCGAACGGGGAGGAGCCCAGAGCCUGAAUCAGCAUGUGUGUUAGUGGAAGCGUCUGGAAAGGCGCGCGAUACAGGGUGACAGCCCCGUACACAAAAGCGCAUGUGCUGUGAGCUCGAUGAGUAGGGCGGGACACGUGGUAUCCUGUCUGAAUAUGGGGGGACCAUCCUCCAAGGCUAAAUACUCCUGACUGACCGAUAGUGAACCAGUACCGUGAGGGAAAGGCGAAAAGAACCCCGGCGAGGGGAGUGAAAAAGAACCUGAAACCGUGUACGUACAAGCAGUGGGAGCCCCACCACCAAAGCAUUCUCUGGUGUUGAAGGCCCUGCAAAGCAGCAUCGCGGUGGCGGAGCGUCGUUUGCGACGCCCAACACACAAAACAAGCGGUGAGUGCUUUGGGGUGGGGUGACUGCGUACCUUUUGUAUAAUGGGUCAGCGACUUAUAUUCUGUAGCAAGGUUAACCGUAUAGGGGAGCCGGAGGGAAACCGAGUCUUAACCGGGCGUUAAGUUGCAGGGUAUAGACCCGAAACCCGGUGAUCUAGCCAUGGGCAGGUUGAAGGUUGGGUAACACUAACUGGAGGACCGAACCGACUAAUGUUGAAAAAUUAGCGGAUGACCUGUGGCUGGGGGUGAAAGGCCAAUCAAACCGGGAGAUAGCUGGUUCUCCCCGAAAGCUAUUUAGGUAGCGCCUCGUGAAUUCAUCUCCGGGGGUAGAGCACUGUUUCGGCUAGGGGGCCAUCCCGGCUUACCAACCCGAUGCAAACUGCGAAUACCGGAGAAUGUUAUCACGGGAGACACACGGCGGGUGCUAACGUCCGUCGUGAAGAGGGAAACAACCCAGACCGCCAGCUAAGGUCCCAAAGUCAUGGUUAAGUGGGAAACGAUGUGGGAAGGCCCAGACAGCCAGGAUGUUGGCUUAGAAGCAGCCAUCAUUUAAAGAAAGCGUAAUAGCUCACUGGUCGAGUCGGCCUGCGCGGAAGAUGUAACGGGGCUAAACCAUGCACCGAAGCUGCGGCAGCGACGCUUAUGCGUUGUUGGGUAGGGGAGCGUUCUGUAAGCCUGUGAAGGUGGCCUGUGAGGGUUGCUGGAGGUAUCAGAAGUGCGAAUGCUGACAUAAGUAACGAUAAAGCGGGUGAAAAGCCCGCUCGCCGGAAGACCAAGGGUUCCUGUCCAACGUUAAUCGGGGCAGGGUGAGUCGACCCCUAAGGCGAGGCCGAAAGGCGUAGUCGAUGGGAAACGGGUUAAUAUUCCCGUACUUGGUGUUACUGCGAAGGGGGGACGGAGAAGGCUAUGUUGGCCGGGCGACGGUUGUCCCGGUUUAAGCGUGUAGGUGUGUGUUCCAGGUAAAUCCGGUUCACUUUAACACUGAGGCGUGAUGACGAGGCACUACGGUGCUGAAGCAACAAAUGCCCUGCUUCCAGGAAAAGCCUCUAAGCAUCAGGUAACAUCAAAUCGUACCCCAAACCGACACAGGUGGUCAGGUAGAGAAUACCAAGGCGCUUGAGAGAACUCGGGUGAAGGAACUAGGCAAAAUGGUGCCGUAACUUCGGGAGAAGGCACGCUGACACGUAGGUGAAGUGAUUUACUCAUGGAGCUGAAGUCAGUCGAAGAUACCAGCUGGCUGCAACUGUUUAUUAAAAACACAGCACUGUGCAAACACGAAAGUGGACGUAUACGGUGUGACGCCUGCCCGGUGCCGGAAGGUUAAUUGAUGGGGUCAGCGCAAGCGAAGCUCCUGAUCGAAGCCCCGGUAAACGGCGGCCGUAACUAUAACGGUCCUAAGGUAGCGAAAUUCCUUGUCGGGUAAGUUCCGACCUGCACGAAUGGCGUAAUGAUGGCCAGGCUGUCUCCACCCGAGACUCAGUGAAAUUGAACUCGCUGUGAAGAUGCAGUGUACCCGCGGCAAGACGGAAAGACCCCGUGAACCUUUACUAUAGCUUGACACUGAACAUUGAGCCUUGAUGUGUAGGAUAGGUGGGAGGCUUUGAAGUGUGGACGCCAGUCUGCAUGGAGCCGACCUUGAAAUACCACCCUUUAAUGUUUGAUGUUCUAACGUGGACCCGUGAUCCGGGUUGCGGACAGUGUCUGGUGGGUAGUUUGACUGGGGCGGUCUCCUCCUAAAGAGUAACGGAGGAGCACGAAGGUUGGCUAAUCCUGGUCGGACAUCAGGAGGUUAGUGCAAUGGCAUAAGCCAGCUUGACUGCGAGCGUGACGGCGCGAGCAGGUGCGAAAGCAGGUCAUAGUGAUCCGGUGGUUCUGAAUGGAAGGGCCAUCGCUCAACGGAUAAAAGGUACUCCGGGGAUAACAGGCUGAUACCGCCCAAGAGUUCAUAUCGACGGCGGUGUUUGGCACCUCGAUGUCGGCUCAUCACAUCCUGGGGCUGAAGUAGGUCCCAAGGGUAUGGCUGUUCGCCAUUUAAAGUGGUACGCGAGCUGGGUUUAGAACGUCGUGAGACAGUUCGGUCCCUAUCUGCCGUGGGCGCUGGAGAACUGAGGGGGGCUGCUCCUAGUACGAGAGGACCGGAGUGGACGCAUCACUGGUGUUCGGGUUGUCAUGCCAAUGGCACUGCCCGGUAGCUAAAUGCGGAAGAGAUAAGUGCUGAAAGCAUCUAAGCACGAAACUUGCCCCGAGAUGAGUUCU